Molecule: ribosomal RNA, 253 nt
Filed under: uncultured bacterium
Lineage: Bacteria
Description: partial 16S ribosomal RNA
Rfam family: Bacterial small subunit ribosomal RNA
Source: RNAcentral
UACGUAGGUGGCAAGCGUUGUCCGGAAUUAUUGGGCGUAAAGCGCGCGCAGGCGGUUCUUUAAGUCUAAUGUGAAAGCCCACGGCUCAACCGUGGAGGGUCAUUGGAAACUGGGGAACUUGAGUACAGAAGAGGAAAGCGGAAUUCCACGUGUAGCGGUGAAAUGCGUAGAGAUGUGGAGGAACACCAGUGGCGAAGGCGGCUUUCUGGUCUGUAACUGACGCUGAGGCGCGAAAGCGUGGGGAGCAAACAGG